GAUGAACGCUGGCGGCGUGCUUAACACAUGCAAGUCGAACGAUGAAGCCCAGCUUGCUGGGUGGAAUAGUGGCGAACGGGUGAGCAACACGUGAGUAACCUGCCCUUAACUCUGGGAUAAGCCUGGGAAACUGGGUCUAAUACCGGAUAGGAGCGCCUACCGCAUGGUGGGUGUUGGAAAGAUUUAUCGGUUUUGGAUGGACUCGCGGCCUAUCAGCUUGUUGGUGAGGUAAUGGCUCACCAAGGCGACGACGGGUAGCCGGCCUGAGAGGGUGACCGGCCACACUGGGACUGAGACACGGCCCAGACUCCUACGGGAGGCAGCAGUGGGGAAUAUUGCACAAUGGGCGAAAGCCUGAUGCAGCGACGCCGCGUGAGGGAUGACGGCCUUCGGGUUGUAAACCUCUUUCAGUAGGGAAGAAGCGAAAGUGACGGUACCUGCAGAAGAAGCACCGGCUAACUACGUG
Molecule: ribosomal RNA, 466 nt
Filed under: uncultured bacterium
Lineage: Bacteria
Description: partial 16S ribosomal RNA
Rfam family: Bacterial small subunit ribosomal RNA
Source: RNAcentral